This 440-nucleotide ribosomal RNA is filed under the name uncultured bacterium. RNAcentral's name for it is "partial 16S ribosomal RNA". It matches the Rfam family "Bacterial small subunit ribosomal RNA", at positions 338 to 795 of the family's 1533-position model. The record is from RNAcentral.
CCUACGGGUGGCAGCAGUGGGGGAUAUUGCACAAUGGGGGGAACCCUGAUGCAGCGACGCCGCGUGGGUGAAGAAGCGCCUCGGCGCGUAAAGCCCUGUCAGCAGGGGAGAAAAUGACGGUACCUGAAGAAGAAGCCCCGGCUAACUACGUGCCAGCAGCCGCGGUAAUACGUAGGGGGCCAGCGUUAUACGGAUUUACUGGGUGUAAAGGGGGCGCAGACGGCGGUGUAAGCCAGGAGUGAACGUGUGGGGCUCAACCCCGGGACUGCUCUUGGAACUGGGUGGCUGGAGUGCAGGAGGGGCAGGCGGAAUUCGUGGUGUAGCGGUGAAAUGCGUAGAUAUCAGGAGGAACACCGAUGGCGAAGGCGGCCUGCUGGACUGCAACUGACGUUGAGGCCCGAAAGCGUGGGGAGCAAACAGGAUUAGAUACCCCAGUAGUC